This 481-nucleotide ribosomal RNA is filed under the name uncultured Glomeromycotina. RNAcentral's name for it is "SSU rRNA". It matches the Rfam family "Eukaryotic small subunit ribosomal RNA", at positions 596 to 1077 of the family's 1831-position model. Lineage: Eukaryota; Fungi; Glomeromycota. The record is from RNAcentral.
AGCGUAUAUUAAAGUUGUUGCAGUUAAAAAGCUCGUAGUUGAAUUUCGGGAUCAAUACGUCGGUCGUGCUUUCGGGUACGUACUGGCGUCAUUGGUUUCUCCUUUCUGACGAACCAUGAUGUCAUUAAUUUGGUGUUAUGGGGAGUUAGGACUGUUACUUUGAAAAAAUUAGAGUGUUUAAAGCAGGCAUUAGCUUGAAUACAUUAGCAUGGAAUAAUGAAAUAGGACGUUCGAUCCUAUUUUGUUGGUUUCUAGGAUUAACGUAAUGAUUAAUAGGGAUAGUUGGGGGCAUUAGUAUUCAAUUGUCAGAGGUGAAAUUCUUGGAUUUAUUGAAGACUAACUACUGCGAAAGCAUUUGCCAAGGAUGUUUUCAUUAAUCAAGAACGAAAGUUAGGGGAUCGAAGACGAUCAGAUACCGUCGUAGUCUUAACCAUAAACUAUGCCGACUAGGGAUCGGAUGAUGUUAAUUUUUUAAUGACUC